CCUGCGGCAUGCUUACCAUGCAAGUCGAACGAUGAUGCCCAGCUUGCUGGGUUGAUUAGUGGCGAACGGGUGAGUAACACGUGAGUAACCUGCCCCUGACUCUGGGAUAAGCGUUGGAAACGACGUCUAAUACUGGAUAUGAUCGCCGGCCGCAUGGUCUGGUGGUGGAAAGAUUUUUUGGUUGGGGAUGGACUCGCGGCCUAUCAGCUUGUUGGUGAGGUAAUGGCUCACCAAGGCGACGACGGGUAGCCGGCCUGAGAGGGUGACCGGCCACACUGGGACUGAGACACGGCCCAGACUCCUACGGGAGGCAGCAGUGGGGAAUAUUGCACAAUGGGCGAAAGCCUGAUGCAGCAACGCCGCGUGAGGGAUGACGGCCUUCGGGUUGUAAACCUCUUUUAGUAGGGAAGAAGCGAAAGUGACGGUACCUGCAGAAAAAGCACCGGCUAACUACGUGCCAGCAGCCGCGGUAAUACGUAGGGUGCAAGCGUUGUCCGGAAUUAUUGGGCGUAAAGAGCUCGUAGGCGGUUUGUCGCGUCUGCUGUGAAAUCCCGAGGCUCAACCUCGGGCUUGCAGUGGGUACGGGCAGACUAGAGUGCGGUAGGGGAGAUUGGAAUUCCUGGUGUAGCGGUGGAAUGCGCAGAUAUCAGGAGGAACACAGAUGGCGAUGGCACAUCUCUGUGCCGUAACUGACGCUGAAGACCAAAAGCAUAGGGGAGCUCAAACGGAUUAGAUCCCGCGGGGAGGGCAUGUCAACAACGGUGGGGCGGCUUAGAUUAGGGCACCUUCCACUCCCGUC
This 799-nucleotide ribosomal RNA is filed under the name Actinobacteridae bacterium F1H6E06. RNAcentral's name for it is "bacterial SSU rRNA". It matches the Rfam family "Bacterial small subunit ribosomal RNA", at positions 36 to 873 of the family's 1533-position model. Lineage: Bacteria; Bacillati; Actinomycetota; Actinomycetes. The record is from RNAcentral.